RNAcentral lists this ribosomal RNA (375 nucleotides) under uncultured organism. RNAcentral's name for it is "partial 16S ribosomal RNA". It matches the Rfam family "Bacterial small subunit ribosomal RNA", at positions 527 to 896 of the family's 1533-position model. The record is from RNAcentral.
GGAAGGUGCAAGCGUUAAUCGGAAUUACUGGGCGUAAAGCGCGCGUAGGCGGUUAGAUAAGUCGGGUGUGAAAGCCCCGGGCUCAACCUGGGGACUGCAUUCGAUACUGUUUGACUAGAGUGUGAUAGAGGGAGGCGGAAUUCCGCAUGUAGCGGUGAAAUGCGUAGAGAUGCGGAGGAACACCAAUGGCGAAGGCAGCCUCCUGGAUUAACACUGACGCUGAGGUGCGAAAGCGUGGGGGGAGCAAACAGGAUUAGAUACCCUGGUAUUCCACGCUGUAAACCGAUGUCAACUAGCCGUUGGGAGCAAUUUGGCUCUUGGUGGCGUAGCUAACGCGAUAAGUUGACCCGCCUGGGUAGUACGGUCGCAAGAUUA